This 73-nucleotide transfer RNA is filed under the name Surirella sp. RNAcentral's name for it is "tRNA-Phe". It matches the Rfam family "tRNA". Rfam says of the family: Transfer RNA (tRNA) molecules are approximately 80 nucleotides in length. Lineage: Eukaryota; Bacillariophyta; Bacillariophyceae; Surirellales; Surirellaceae. The record is from RNAcentral.
AUUUAAAUAGCUCAGCUGGUAGAGCAUGGGACUGAAAAUUCCUGUGUCGGCAGUUCAAAUCUGCCUUUAAAUA